This 232-nucleotide ribosomal RNA is filed under the name uncultured bacterium. RNAcentral describes it as "partial 16S ribosomal RNA". It matches the Rfam family "Bacterial small subunit ribosomal RNA", at positions 104 to 334 of the family's 1533-position model. The record is from RNAcentral.
CGGGGUGAGUAACGCGUGGGUAACCUGCCUUGUACUGGGGGACAACAGUUAGAAAUGACUGCUAAUACCGCAUAAGCGCACAGCAUCGCAUGAUACAGUGUGAAAAACUCCGGUGGUACAAGAUGGACCCGCGUCUGAUUAGCUAGUUGGUAAGGUAACGGCUUACCAAGGCGACGAUCAGUAGCCGACCUGAGAGGGUGACCGGCCACAUUGGGACUGAGACACGGCCCAA